RNAcentral lists this long non-coding RNA (7353 nucleotides) under Sus scrofa (pig). RNAcentral's name for it is "lncRNA (ENSSSCG00065024512.1)". Lineage: Eukaryota; Metazoa; Chordata; Mammalia; Artiodactyla; Suidae. The record is from RNAcentral.
GGAAAGCUGUGUGAUCUUAAGCAAGAUCGUAUGUAACCUUCCUUGGCCUCAGUUUCCCCAAUUGUAGAAUGAGGAUACUAGUAUCCACCUUAUACAUACUAAUUGUCUCGUAAAGAAGGAAGGUAAUAAUGCAUGUAAAUGCUCAGCAUAGAGCCUGGUUCAUGCAGCUGCAUUCUUUAAUCAAAUGCUUCUAAGAUCAAUUAGAUGACAAGUAUUGCACGAGGCUAUGGGGCUUCAUAAGUGAAUAAGAUAAAGAUUCUGACCUGCAGUCCUUAUAUUCUAAGGGGGGAUGGCAACUAUACGAACGAAUACUUCGGUGGGGAUGUGAUGUGGCAUGGCAAAGAGAGUGUACUGACAUGGUGUCGAGUUUUGAAGAGUGGAUAAAAAUUCUCCCGGCAGAGGACCUGACAAAACUCUUCAAACUGCUCAGGUUAAGUAACCAUAUACCUUGAUGAGUGGGAAAAAAUAAUACAAUUUUAUUUUGGUUCCAAUCCAAUUUUUUAAAAAAAUUUAUUGGGGUAUGGUUGAUUUGUGGUGUUGUAUUAGCUUCAGGUUUACAGUAAAGUGAGUCAAAUAUAUAUAUAUAUAUAUACACACAUACCCAUUCUUUUUUCCCAUAUAGGUUAUUACAGAACAUUGAGCAGGCCUCCUUGUGCUAUAUAGUAGGUCCCUGUUAAUUAUCUAUUUUACAUUUAGUAGUGUGUAUGUGUUAAUCCCAUCCUCCUAAUUUAUGCCCCCACCCAUGGUUUCCCCAUUUGGUAACCAUAAAUUUGAUUUUGAAAUCAGUGAGUUUCUGUUUGUAAAUAAGUUCUUUUGUAUCAUUUUUAUUAGAUUCCACAUAUAAGUGAUAUCAUAUAAUAUUUGUCUCUCUCUGUCUGACUUACUUCACUUAAUAUGAUAAUCUCUAGGUCCAUCCAUGUUGCUGCAAGUGGCAAUAUUUCAUUAUUUUUAUGGCUGGGUAAUAUUCCAUUGUAUAUAUGUACCACAUCUUCUUAAUCCAUUCUUCUGUCAGUGGACAUUUAGGUUGCUUCCAUGUCUUGGCUAUUGUAAACAGUAAUGCUAUGAACAUUGGGGUUGCAUGUAUUUUUUUGAAUUAUCAUUUUCUCUAGAUGUAUGCCCGUGGGUGGGAUUGUUGGGUCAUAUGGUACUUCUGUAUUUAGUUGUUUUUUUUUUUUUAAGAAAUCUCCUUACUGUUCUCCACAGUGGUUGUACCAAAUUGCAUUCCUACCAACAGUGUAGGAAUCUUCCCUUUGCUCCACAUCAUUUCCAACAUUUAUGAUUUGUAGGCUUUUUAUUGAUGGCCAUUCUGAGGUGAUACCUUGUUGUAGGUUUGAUUUGCAUUUCUCUAAUAAUUAGUGAUGUUGAACAUCUUUUCAUGUGCCUUUUAGCCAUCUGUCUGUCUUCUUUGGAAAAAUGUCUAUUUAGAUCUUCUGACCAUUUUUCGAUUGGGCUGUUUGGUUUUUUUGUCCAGCCCAAUUUUUACAAAGUAGACUAAUUAAACAGGUAAAACAGAGCCUGCUCUUUGUAAGUUUCAUUCUCCUUUCCCCCAGCCAAGCAAGUAGAGCUGGGGACUCUGUGACAUCAGGAGGCCUGUUAGUAAAUAGAGCACAUUUUCCUGAGGUCCAGGCCAUGUGGUCUUCUCUUCUCUCAGUUCUUGGCCCAGAUCUACUCAGAACAUUACAGCAGAGUGACCUGUGAUGGAGUCCACUCUCUCAAGUACUCCCCAAAUUCCCUCUAACCUGUAUGGAAAGACUUUUCCAUAGAAAGUUUCAGUGUAAACCUUAAAAGGUUUAUAGAAGACCACUUUGGGAAUGUCCAUCAGGUUGGGCUUCCUGCCCCACAACCUGAUUGCCAUCCACCACUGGCACCUCACAAAAACAGUGGCUUUGGCAGAGAUGGAUCACAUUGCUGAGAAGGCUAGGUGAGUUAUUCCACAGCACACGCAAAUGCUCUAUCUGGCUGGGGCCCAGAUUUCAAGAGAUUUGGACAUGUUGUUUCACGAUGAGUGAAGGUGAUGUUUUCAAAAAUUUCCCCAGAAAAAAACUAGGAAGGAGUGAGAGAGUGGGCCCAUGAAGGUGAGGGGCAAGAAAAUGUACACUACCUUGGGUUUAUCCUGUAUGGGACUCACUGUGCUUCCUGGACUUGGGGGAGUGUUUCCUUCCCCAUGUUAGGGAAGUUUUCAGGUAUUAUCUCAUCAUAUAUUUUCUCCAGUACUUUCUCUCUUCUGAUUCAGGGAUGCCUAUAAUGCGAAUGUUGGUGCAUUUAAUGUUGUCCCAGAGGUCUCUUAAACUGUCCUCAUUUCUUUGAGGGAAGUUGGAUAAAGGGUAGCUUGGAUUAACCCCACAGGGGAGCUUGGAGUUGGUCCAGGCCACAUGCCAAGGCUGUCCUGAAGGGACAGCACAGGAGCUGGAGUGUUGAUACCUCCUAUUCUGUGGGCCAUGGGUUCUGUGUUGCUCCUGGGGGACAUGAGUUCCUGGGUGCUGCCUGUGCGCACAGGCCAGUGGAUUAUUGAUGACAUUCUACUGUGACUGCAGGAAGAAAAGCAUACAGGCAGGGCUCAAUUCAAAAUGAAAAUGUGGGAGCCCUUUUUGAAAAAGCAUGGAAAGGUGCCAUUAGAGGUACUAAAAUAAAAGCUUUUUCCAUUCUUCCAGUCUCUCUUCACUUGUCAUGGCUUUUGUUGCUUUUUUUUAAAUGCCACUAUUGAAUGCCACUCUAAGUAAAGGAAAAUUUAAAUUUUAAACGUUAGCAUAAAUUUUAGCCCUUUCAUUUCAAUAUUGUGUGGUGCCUAUUUUAAAUGCAAAUAUAAGAGCAUUUAACACAUGCUAAUCAUCAAAAUUACACAAUUUGCAUAUUUCAUUCUUACCGUAGCAGAAGAAAAGCUGCACAAAACUGACUCAUCUGCUUUUAUUUCACUUCUUGAGGCAUGCACAUUUUACCAACAAGCCCUACCUUCAGCUUACUGAUGAGUAAGGAAGGAUUGAAAGAGAAGGAACAAUGGGGGCCCUUAUCUUUUUCUUUCCUUCUCUGUCCUCAUUUUCAGGUCAGUCAGGUUGAUGCCUAAUGCAGGGAAGUAACAUGAGUAAGAAAGAACAAGAUAGGGCUCUUUGAUCAUCUGUGUUUCUUAGAAAACCACUGCCUUCUUUCUGGGUUAGAAGCACGUCUUGUUUCAGAUGGAAAGUGUGGCCUCUUGGGGCUGCUGGCAUCCUUCCCCGUCCGAUAACUCAGCUGGAGACGAAACACACUUAGCUGGCACUGGCUUUGCAUCUCCUUGAGGGUCCACUGGAAUUCUGUGCUCAUGGGAGCGUCUGUGGGAGUAGCAGCAAGAAAGGACAGACACACAGACCGUGUGUAUCUCCUCUGUUCCUGUGCAUGCUCCGUUGCCUGAUCAGAAUUCACUUACAAAAUACGAGUUGAAAGAAAAAACGUUUAAGACUUUUUAAAUGAUGACAGUAGCGCAUUAAACCCAGCAUAGGGUCUUUCUGAAGACGGAGUCCUGGGGACCACCCAUGUCACACACCGUGAUGCUGGCCCUGUGCACAGCAAGGCCGCAUGCAUGAAAACGGUCAUGGGAUCCCUGCAGGUGGAGUCUGAGAAAGAAACUUGGAAGCCAGCCCUGCACACUGGGCGUUUGUGGGGAAGGAGUCCAGGGCACCCUAAAAGAUUUGUUUCUAGAGCUAGAGCCCUGGAGCACAGGCCAUGCCAGGAAAGACGCGACAAAAAGAGACAGCGGGCCAAGUGAAGGGAGAAAAGCCGGAGAGCUGGUUCACUGGAACCGACUGGAAGCACCAGGGACGAUCUGGGAAAUGCAGCCAAGGGUCAAGGAGGGAAGCAAGACCAUAACUAGCAAAGGACUGUCAUAAACCAGCAGCCACUGGGAUCUGAUCCCAGGCCCGAGUGCCCUCCCUGGGUCCCUCUAAGCCUGUGAGCUACCCUCCACGCGCCUGGACUGGGCUCCUUGGAGGAGCCAGCCUUGCAGGACGGCAUGGCCUUCCAGGUCCUUCCUAUCAUUCUACCCUCUUGGUACAACUCAGACACCAUUGCUGGGAGCAUCUUCCCUGCCCUGCAGAGAACAACACUUCUGCAGAGUAUUUCCCAGUUAUUUCAUCAUGGACACAAGCCGGAACCCGGCUACAUUGAACAUGUGACGUGGGACGAGGUUAAGGGUCAUCCGCCUGCUCGCAGGGCACUGGGUCCCAGGGCUCAUCUGUGACUCUUUGCAGUCCAGCAGCAGGAGCCCGUGACUCGGGAGGUGUUUAGCUACCUGCAGGUCUCCUUCCACCACCCGUGACUCCACUGUCUGCGUUAACUCAGCACAGGGUUUCUCGACCGCGGCACUCUUAGUAAUCUUUUAGCUAAUAGCGACAAUUCUCUGUCUAGGAAACUGUGCUUUGCACCAGAGGCUGCUCAGUGGCCCCUGGCCUCUGCCCCCAUGAGAUGCCAUAACACGUCCCAGCUAUGACAACCAAAAAUGUCUCCAGACUUUGCCCACUGUCCCCUGGGGGCAUAAUCAGCCUUGGUGAGAAUCAACGACUUUGAGCAUGUGGGUCCCUGCUCGGUGCCGAUAGAAGAUACUGCUUUCAACUUCUGCUCUUAGCUAGAAAUAUUAUUCCACUUUUCCAUUAGCCUCUGUCAGCCAAAGCAUCUAUCACCUUGUCAUAUCCUUCACUCCUGGGUGUGUUAGUGAGGCUUUAGUGGGUAGUCAAGCCACUUGGUGUCAAGUCUCCAUGCUCCGUGUCCAUCCAGAAAGAGUUCUAGGAGCCUUUGGAAACUUCUCCAAAGCGUAUAUGUCCUGAGGCCUACUAAGAUUUUUAUUAGCAUACCAUCCCUUUUCUCUCUCUCUUAGGGUCCCGGAUACUAAAAUCUAGCAAGAGCUCAGGUUUGUCCUAUGGCUUAUCUGAUUUAAUCUGCAAAGAGAAAAAAAACCCCGUCCUAUAAAAGAGCAUAUCCGUGUGUACAGGUGGGGCAGUGGGGCUGGGAGGUAAUAAAAAACUUGCCCAAGACCACACACAGGAAGUAAACUGAAUUUGGGUCUUUCAGCUGCUAAUUAGAGGUCCUGGACUUCUAGCAGGGGUUCUCAACAUUAGCGCAUGUAAGAAUCACCCAGGUGUGUGUGUGUACAAUGCAAGUUCCCAGCACCCCACCCCCACCCCCCUCUACCACCCCCCCGCAACCACAGGGACUCAGUAGGCGGAUCUAGAGAAGCCCUAAGAAUCAGGGUUUUAAAGAGGCAUGUUCAGUGAUUCUGCUGCAGGGUGGCCUGUUUUUCAUCUGUCAACAGUACCUGUCCCAAGUCAAGUCAGGAGUUGUUUCUCACUUGUCAUUGACGGUGAGGAUGGGGAACCCUCAUUUUCAAGGAAAAGCACCAUUUAAGCUUACUUCCCUGAGUGUGAGUUCUGAGUCACUGUUUUCUCUGUCUCAGACACGGUAGAAUUUUAGGCCUGUUUUCUGUUGUGGAACGUGAGGACUAAUGGCCUGUGUCCGCAGAGCAGGAGUGUCCGAUCUCAUUCCUACAAUGCUUCACGGAGUUAGGAGUUCCUCUCUUUCAUCAAGGGGAGGCUGUUGCUGGUUGGGGUGGACAAUCGCCUGGAGCUGGAGAUGGUAGCGAGUCUAGCUCUGCUGUGAUUCCUGGCCCAGAGGGACAAUUAAGACAUGACCCUAUUGCUAGAGCUGUGCCCAGUGCACAAGGGUUAGUGUUUCUUCUGCUCAAGAGAAAGCAGUUUCAAAUAUUUUCUUUACUAAGAACAACCAACAGAUUCUGAUAAAGACAUUUUUGUUGGUAGCCAUUGAUUUCCCUCUUCCCCCAUCUUUCCUUCCAUCCUCAAUCUCUCCCUUCCUCCCUUCCCCCCUCCCCUCCUUCCCUCCCUUCUCCCCCACCCUGUCCCUCCCUCUGUCUCUCUUACUCUCCUCUUUUGAAUAGUUGACAACACAGGAUAGCACUGCUUAGAACCUCAUAAGAGGUAUACAGGCAAAGCCUCCCUCCUACUCCUAUUUCUAGCUAAGCUCCCCACCCCCAACUCUCAGCCACAUACACAUCCAUAGACACAGGUAAACUACUGGUGUUCAUUUGUUUCGCUUGCUAGAGUUUUUUUCAAUGUAUAUAUAAGUGAAUUUAAAUAGACAUCCUUAUCCCGCAGCCACAGCCUACAAAACCCACUGACCUGCACCUGCACCAUGCUCUUCUCACUUAGCAGGUUUCCAUACAUAAAGCCUCUAUUCAUUCCUUUUUACAGCACCAUAGUACUUCCAUUGUGUGGAUUUAUGUAAUUUAUUUAACCAGUUGUUCCUGGUAUUUUGCUCUUAUCAACGACGCUUUACCAGGUAACCUCCCACCGUGUUGUUUUUGCACCUGUGCAAGUGUAUCUUUAUACUUUGUUUUUUUUUUUUUUUGGCAUCUGAACAAGUAUAUCCGUAGGAUAAAUUCCUGCAAAUGACUCGGUCAACACGUAUGUGCUUGUGUAAUCCUGAUAGCUUCAGACAAGUCACCUGUCAUAGACAGGGCACUGACCACACUUCCUCCAAGGGUGUGGCAGUCCCUGUUGUGACUAGGCUUUGUUGGGAGGAGGAAGGGGUCAGAGAUUGUGGGUGGGUAUUUCAUCACAAUACUGGGCUGCCCAUCACACUGUGCCAGGUGUCAUCGUUGAAAUUCUUAUACAACCUAAGGAGGGAAUAUUUUAAUUUUUGAAAUUAUAACUAAAUAAAUUAGGCCUCUUUGGCUGCAAGUAAUAAAAUACCUUUCAGCUCGGCUUGGUGGGGGGUAGGUAGCGAGAAAGGAAGGAAAGUGGUCACCAUAGGACAAAGAUAUAGCUCGUGGUGCAGAAGUGUAGCUCUGCUCCCAGUUCAUACCUGGGGAGGGGCUGAGUGAAUGACUCAGUGUGUGUGAAGGUCUUUGAUUCUGAACUUGGGUGGGGCACAAGGUCCCAGGUCUGGGCAGCAGGGAACAGUAUAAAGCAUCAUGUGGUCCAAACUGGAAAUCUGGAGCCUACCACUCUGAGUGCGCUGAGCCACUGGGCAGAUAGAACCACAAAUAAAAUGAUUUAUUUUUGCCACUUUAAUAGUAUAACAAGAAAGAUGACAAAAAUAGAGCAGACACAAAAUGAAUCUAAGUACCCAGUAAAUCUCCCCUUUAAAUCACCCCAGCUGUUUCUGAGGUUAUCGUAUCGCUGUGGCAAAAAAUCAGUCGGGUAUGAACUGGGCAAAUUCUCAGCUCUGAAACUGUUUCUAUUCAGCAGGUAGUUUCCUAAAAAUUGGUUAUCAAAGAUGCUUUUGAGAGUACAAAUAAUUUUUUUAACAUUUUUUAAAACAAAAGCUUCUCUUUCAUGAGUAUCCAAAAAAAAUAAAAAUAAAAAUAAAAAA